UACGGAGGGUGCAAGCGUUAUCCGGAUUCACUGGGUUUAAAGGGUGUGUAGGCGGAUUGUUAAGUCAGUGGUGAAAUCUCUGGGCUCAACCCGGAAACUGCCGUUGAUACUAUCAGUCUUGAAUUCUGUUGAGGUGGGCGGAAUACAUCAUGUAGCGGUGAAAUGCUUAGAUAUGAUGUAGAACACCGAUUGCGAAGGCAGCUCACUAAGCAGCGAUUGACGCUGAGGCACGAAAGCGUGGGGAUCAAACAGG
Molecule: ribosomal RNA, 253 nt
Filed under: uncultured bacterium
Lineage: Bacteria
Description: partial 16S ribosomal RNA
Rfam family: Bacterial small subunit ribosomal RNA
Source: RNAcentral